GAAGAGAUGGCUCAGUGGUUAAGAGCUCUGGCUGCUCUUCCAGAGGACUGGGUUCAAUUCCCAGCAUCCACA
Molecule: non-coding RNA, 72 nt
Organism: Neotoma lepida (desert woodrat)
Lineage: Eukaryota; Metazoa; Chordata; Mammalia; Rodentia; Cricetidae
Source: Rfam